CCGGCUCCGGUUCACGCGUCGCACACAAGUGCGGGCGACCCGGCGGCC
Molecule: regulatory RNA element, 48 nt
Organism: Nakamurella panacisegetis
Lineage: Bacteria; Bacillati; Actinomycetota; Actinomycetes; Nakamurellales; Nakamurellaceae
Rfam family: L31-Actinobacteria ribosomal protein leader
Source: Rfam